GCGGGGGGCUAGGCAAUCGCGGAGUGAAAUCUUCGAGGAAAGUCCGGACUCCCUGAAACAACGGUGCCGGGUAACGCCCGGCGGGGGUAACCCUAGGGAAAGCGCCGCAGAAAACAGACAGCCUUGCAUGCAAGGUAAUGGUGAAACGGUGGGUUAAAGCUCACCGCGCUGUUGGUAACAAUAGNGGCACGGCAAGCCCCACCGGGAGCAAUGCCAAAUAGGAACCGCAAAGAGACCGUUUCAGUCUAGCAGGUUCGGGUUGGCAGCUGGAUNGGCCUGGUAACAGGUCUGCNAGAUGAAUGAUUGCCCAAGAUAGCGUGUUUAAUCAUGUUUAUCUGGACAAAAUCCGGCUUACAGGCUGCCCGCGCGC
This 370-nucleotide RNase P RNA is filed under the name bacterium. Its description in RNAcentral is "RNase P RNA component class A". It matches the Rfam family "Bacterial RNase P class A". Rfam says of the family: Ribonuclease P (RNase P) is a ubiquitous endoribonuclease, found in archaea, bacteria and eukarya as well as chloroplasts and mitochondria. Its best characterised activity is the generation of mature 5'-ends of tRNAs by cleaving the 5'-leader elements of precursor-tRNAs. The record is from RNAcentral.